CUUGUACACACCGCCCGUCACACCAUGGGAGUUGGCUUUACCUGAAGACGGUGCGCUAACCCGCAAGGGAGGCAGCCGGCCACGGUAGGGUCAGCGACUGGGGUGAAGUCGUAACAAGGUAGCCGUAGGGGAACCUGCGGCUGGAUCACCUCCUUU
RNAcentral lists this ribosomal RNA (156 nucleotides) under Bradyrhizobium japonicum. Its description in RNAcentral is "partial 16S ribosomal RNA". It matches the Rfam family "Bacterial small subunit ribosomal RNA", at positions 1380 to 1533 of the family's 1533-position model. The record is from RNAcentral. Lineage: Bacteria; Pseudomonadati; Pseudomonadota; Alphaproteobacteria; Hyphomicrobiales; Nitrobacteraceae.